GAAAGUAAAAGUCGUAACAAGGUCUCCGUAGGUGAACCUGCGGAGGGAUCAUUACAGAGUUCAUGCCCUACCGGGUAGAUCUCCCACCCUAUGUUAUUAUCACUUUGUUGCUUUGGCGGGCCGUUAGGCUCCGGCCCGACUACCGGCCCCGGCUGGUAAGCGCCCGCCAGAGGACCCAAAACCCCGAAUAUUAGUGUCGUCUGAGUACUAUAUAAUAGUUAAAACUUUCAACAACGGAUCUCUUGGUUCUG
RNAcentral lists this unclassified non-coding RNA (251 nucleotides) under plant metagenome. Its description in RNAcentral is "partial contains small subunit ribosomal RNA, internal transcribed spacer 1, and 5.8S ribosomal RNA". The stretch from base 1 to 54 matches the Rfam family "Eukaryotic small subunit ribosomal RNA", at positions 1778 to 1831 of the family's 1831-position model. The record is from RNAcentral.